This 522-nucleotide ribosomal RNA is filed under the name Dactylellina cionopaga. Its description in RNAcentral is "SSU rRNA". It matches the Rfam family "Eukaryotic small subunit ribosomal RNA", at positions 57 to 577 of the family's 1831-position model. The record is from RNAcentral. Lineage: Eukaryota; Fungi; Ascomycota; Orbiliomycetes; Orbiliales; Orbiliaceae.
GUCCUGGUUCAAGUUUCAGGCACUAUACAGUGAAACUGCGAAUGGCUCAUUAAAUCAGUUAUCGUUUAUUUGAUAGUACCUUACUACUUGGAUAACCGUGGUAAUUCUAGAGCUAAUACAUGCUAAAAAUCCCGACCUCCGGAAGGGAUGUAUUUAUUAGAUAAAAAACCAAUGCCCUCGGGCCCCUUGGUGAUUCAUGAUAACUUAACGAAUCGCAUGGCCUUGCGCCGGCGAUGGUUCAUUCAAAUUUCUGCCCUAUCAACUUUCGAUGGUAGGAUAGUGGCCUACCAUGGUUUCAACGGGUAACGGGGAAUUAGGGUUCGAUUCCGGAGAGGGAGCCUGAGAAACGGCUACCACAUCCAAGGAAGGCAGCAGGCGCGCAAAUUACCCAAUCCCGACACGGGGAGGUAGUGACAAUAAAUACUGAUACAGGGCUCUUUUGGGUCUUGUAAUUGGAAUGAGUACAAUUUAAAUCUCUUAACGAGGAACAAUUGGAGGGCAAGUCUGGUCCCCAGCAGCCCA